RNAcentral lists this ribosomal RNA (172 nucleotides) under uncultured bacterium. RNAcentral describes it as "partial 16S ribosomal RNA". It matches the Rfam family "Bacterial small subunit ribosomal RNA", at positions 355 to 519 of the family's 1533-position model. The record is from RNAcentral.
UAGGGAAUCUUCCACAAUGGACGAAAGUCUGAUGGAGCAACGCCGCGUGAGUGAAGAAGGGUUUCGGCUCGUAAAGCUCUGUUGGUAGUGAAGAAAGAUAGAGGUAGUAACUGGCCUUUAUUUGACGGUAAUUACUUAGAAAGUCACGGCUAACUACGUGCCAGCAGCCGCG